This 94-nucleotide small nucleolar RNA is filed under the name Tupaia belangeri chinensis (Chinese tree shrew). RNAcentral describes it as "Tupaia chinensis (Chinese tree shrew) Small nucleolar RNA U13". It matches the Rfam family "Small nucleolar RNA U13". Lineage: Eukaryota; Metazoa; Chordata; Mammalia; Scandentia; Tupaiidae. The record is from Rfam by way of RNAcentral.
AUCCUUUUGUGGUUCAUAAGCGUGAUGAUUGGGUGUUCACACCUGUGCGUGACAUAUGCCUCCCUCCUGUUACGACGCCUGUACCCAUCUGACG